RNAcentral lists this long non-coding RNA (1068 nucleotides) under Durio zibethinus. Its description in RNAcentral is "long non-coding RNA (DZIB_LNC001395)". The record is from RNAcentral. Lineage: Eukaryota; Viridiplantae; Streptophyta; Magnoliopsida; Malvales; Malvaceae.
AGUAAGAAUUGAGGUCUUUUACUAGUUUAUAAUAGAUAAUGAUAUAAGUAAUAAUUUGGAAACAUUUAGAUUUAACGCAAACUACAUAUAUUCAACCUUUCCUACAUCAACCCAGAGCAGAAGAGAUUCAGCAGAAAAACCUAUCAUAAGCAUAGGCAACGCAGAACCCAUUGGCAACAAAAAUAAUCCAUACUCACAAGCCAACAACAACCCAAAAAAAUAAAACUCUAUAAUCGACCCAUCAACAGUAAAGCCUUAAAACAGAGACAGUAAUCAACAAUACAAUGAUUCAUUAGCAAAAAUUGCAUGGAAAUUUGAAAGUCCCCUUUUGGUUUGGGGUUUCUGCUCGGACUUGUCUCUAUGAUUUUUUGGGUUUCUGAAUUAGAGGUUGGCUAGAGGAAAGCAAGAAGGCUGCCAGCAGCGAGUGGUGAUCUUCCACCGAGUUUUGGGUAUAAACGGUGAUGCACAGGUGACAAUCACGACGAGAUUCCAUCGAUAUCUAGGUUGCUUGGUGAUCGGCCAAUCAUGGGAGAUUUGUUCUAAAAAUCUGGGUUGGCCACACAGAAGAAGAGAGUGAAGAAUAAGAAAUAGAAAAAUUUUUGGUUACAAGUGACGAAAAGAGGAAGCAAACAUUGGGUUUUUGGCAUAAGUGCUUAGGUAAAGAAUAGAAGAGGGAAGGAAUUGGUGGCUGGUUUCUAGGUUAAGAUAGUGGCUAUUCUUGGUUGAGAUUCGAACAGAAAAUAGGAAAGGAAGGACGGAGACGCUGCUGGCAGAGUAAGGUUUCUGGCACAGGCACGGUAAUCGGCAGUGGAGGUGAUAAACGAGACCAACGACGAGCUCGGUGAUUGAUUAGAAUCUGGAAUUUUAGAGGCCUGUUCUUGGGGGAGAAGCUUUAGGGAGAAGAAGUAGAGCUUGAUAGCUAAAGGAAGAAAGCUGAAAAAGAAAAAGAACAAAAGAAAAUUUUCCAGAUGUCAAAGUCCUGCCAUUUUGGGUAAAGAAAGAAGCUGAUCCUUCUUGGCUCUCACCCAUGCAACCCCCGUGAUGCCCAUAGCGACCCGACCUGGUUUG